UACGUAGGGUGCGAGCGUUGUCCGGAAUUACUGGGCGUAAAGAGUUCGUAGGCGGUUUGUCGCGUCGGCCGUGAAAACUUGGGGCUUAACCCCAAGCCUGCGGUCGAUGCGGGCAGACUUGAGUUCGGCAGGGGAGACUGGAAUUCCUGGUGUAGCGGUGAAAUGCGCAGAUAUCAGGAGGAACACCGGUGGCGAAGGCGGGUCUCUGGGCCGAUACUGACGCUGAGGAGCGAAAGCGUGGGGAGCGAACAGG
Molecule: ribosomal RNA, 253 nt
Filed under: uncultured bacterium
Lineage: Bacteria
Description: partial 16S ribosomal RNA
Rfam family: Bacterial small subunit ribosomal RNA
Source: RNAcentral